GUGCCAGUUCAAUCAGCUUGACCCUAAUCCGAUUCAGUGACUUGGUGAAGUCAGUUAGAAGAUUGUGGUCUACUGAUUGAUCUCUUCUUCUCUAUUUUCUAAAUUGAUUAAAUCUUCUAACUUAUUAUUUUCCUAAUAUGAGCUGGUUAUGGUGAUAACUAGAUCAUAGCCUCCUAUUAAAGUCAAUGGUAAUGGGUUCAUUAUUUUUGAUUGACAUUGCAGGCGCCAUCUAUCUAGUGUUCUCUUUAAAUGAUGAAAUUAUCGUU
Molecule: long non-coding RNA, 266 nt
Filed under: Elaeis guineensis (African oil palm)
Lineage: Eukaryota; Viridiplantae; Streptophyta; Magnoliopsida; Arecales; Arecaceae
Description: long non-coding RNA (EGUI_LNC063071)
Source: RNAcentral